RNAcentral lists this ribosomal RNA (585 nucleotides) under Macrophomina phaseolina. RNAcentral's name for it is "eukaryotic LSU rRNA". The stretch from base 206 to 359 matches the Rfam family "5.8S ribosomal RNA". Lineage: Eukaryota; Fungi; Ascomycota; Dothideomycetes; Botryosphaeriales; Botryosphaeriaceae. The record is from RNAcentral.
GUGAACCUGCGGAAGGAUCAUUACCGAGUUGAUUCGGGCUCCGUCCCGAUCCUCCCACCCUUUGUAUACCUACCUCUGUUGCUUUGGCGGGCCGCGGUCUUCCGCGGCCGCCCCCCGAUUUUGGGGGGUGGCUAGUGCCCGCCAGAGGACUAUCAAACUCCAGUCAGUAAACGUUGCAGUCUGAAAAAAAUAUUAAAUAAACUAAAACUUUCAACAACGGAUCUCUUGGUUCUGGCAUCGAUGAAGAACGCAGCGAAAUGCGAUAAGUAAUGUGAAUUGCAGAAUUCAGUGAAUCAUCGAAUCUUUGAACGCACAUUGCGCCCCUUGGUAUUCCGGGGGGCAUGCCUGUUCGAGCGUCAUUUCAACCCUCAAGCUCUGCUUGGUAUUGGGCACCGUCCUUUGCGGGCGCGCCUCAAAGACCUCGGCGGUGGCGUCUUGCCUCAAGCGUAGUAGAAUACACCUCGCUUCGGAGCGUAAGGCGUCGCCCGCCGGACGAACCUUCUGAACUUUUCUCAAGGUUGACCUCGGAUCAGGUAGGGAUACCCGCUGAACUUAAGCAUAUCAWUAGRCGGAGGAAAUCAUUAC